This 497-nucleotide ribosomal RNA is filed under the name uncultured bacterium. RNAcentral describes it as "partial 16S ribosomal RNA". It matches the Rfam family "Bacterial small subunit ribosomal RNA", at positions 29 to 507 of the family's 1533-position model. The record is from RNAcentral.
AAUGAACGCUGGCGGCAUGCCUAACACAUGCAAGUCGAACGACCACACAAUAAGAGUGUGCUCCUACCGGUGGCGAGGGGCGGGCGAGUGAGGCGUGCAUCACCUUCUACUUUUUCUUGGAUAACAACGGAAGACAACUGACAAUACUACCUCAUACGUCCUACCGCUGAGAUCAGGAGAUCUUGACACUUUUGCCGAUUCUUUUAGCCGAUGUCGCGUCGGAUUAGCUAGUUGGUAAGGUAACGGCUUACCAAGGCGACGAUGCGUAGCUGACCUGAGAGGAUGAUCAGCCACACUGGAACUGAGACACGGUCCAGACUCCUACGGGAGGCAGCAGUGGGGAAUAUUGGACAAUGGGCGCAAGCCUGAUCCAGCAAUGCCGCGUGGGUGAAGAAGGCCUUCGGGUUGUAAAGCCCUGUUGUUAGGAAAGAAAAGCAGUAUGUGAAUACAUGGCUGUCUUGACGGUACCCAAAGAAUAAGCACCGGCUAACUACGUG